GCUUAGAACAAAGGGCCAUGGACUUGAAUACUUUACUUUUCCAGCCCGGGGUACAUUCCUGUUUUCUUUUUCUGUUAAGCUAGUAUCUUAUAGGGAUGCAGUAAUCGCCUCGGGAUGGCUUCUGCUCUGAAACGUCUGUGCAUGAAAGAAGACUGUGUGUGAAGCAGAAGAUCUGAAAGUCUGCUCUACUGACUUCAUCCCUGGAACGAAUCUAGACUUGCUGGUCUAAUUUCAAGCUCUCUCUCUAACUUCAAAUUCAAUGCCUCCUCCACCCACUCCCAUUGGUUUCCCUGCCUUAACCUGAAGUAAGAAAGAAGUUGGUAAAGUACUCAGUCUUGCUAAGUUCUGGAAAUAUUGACAAGUUCCUAAAAUUAUUAACUGCUCUCCCCCCAGGGAAACUCACUCUUUACAGCUACAGUUCCCAUGCUUUCAAAUAGCACGAUGCUGAUUAGGUAUAACUUCUUAUUUCUCCAGGGAAUUCCUUGGAGGUUGAAGGAGGAGGGUCACUUAAGCUCAUGAAUUGAGCAUAUAUGAGGCGAGGAAAUGGAGGAGGAGUGGGGAGGAAAGAGAGAUAGCUGAAAGGGUCUGGAAGAUGAACUACCACUAUAAUCUUGACCAGAUUACUCUCUUAUCUUUGAUAUAGAAAGUCAAAAUUUGGAGACUAUAGCUCAGAUGGUAAAACACACCUGAGGAUUUGAGUUUGAUUCCUACUUUCUCCCAUGGUGGAAGGAGAGAAUCAACUACACACACACACACACACACACACACACACACACACACACACACACC
Molecule: long non-coding RNA, 789 nt
Filed under: Mus musculus (house mouse)
Lineage: Eukaryota; Metazoa; Chordata; Mammalia; Rodentia; Muridae
Description: long non-coding RNA chr2:110710340-110711129
Source: RNAcentral